This 497-nucleotide ribosomal RNA is filed under the name uncultured bacterium. Its description in RNAcentral is "partial 16S ribosomal RNA". It matches the Rfam family "Bacterial small subunit ribosomal RNA", at positions 28 to 507 of the family's 1533-position model. The record is from RNAcentral.
GAUGAACGCUGGCGGCGUGCCUAAUACAUGCAAGUCGAGCGAACGGACGAGAAGCUUGCUUCUCUGAUGUUAGCGGCGGACGGGUGAGUAACACGUGGAUAACCUACCUAUAAGACUGGGAUAACUUCGGGAAACCGGAGCUAAUACCGGUUAAUAUUUUGAACCGCAUGGUUCAAAAGUGAAAGACGGUCUUGCUGUCACUUAUAGAUGGAUCCGCGCUGCAUUAGCUAGUUGGUAAGGUAACGGCUUACCAAGGCAACGAUGCAUAGCCGACCUGAGAGGGUGAUCGGCCACACUGGAACUGAGACACGGUCCAGACUCCUACGGGAGGCAGCAGUAGGGAAUCUUCCGCAAUGGGCGAAAGCCUUACGGAGGAACGCCGCGUGAGUGAUGAAGGUCUUCGGAUCGUAAAACUCUGUUAUUAGGGAAGAACAUAUGUGUAAGUAACUGUGCACAUCUUGACGGUACCUAAUCAGAAAGCCACGGCUAACUACGUG